UGUGCAGUGUCCUACUCAGAAAGGUACUGAUCACUUAGAGGACAAGUAGUCACUGCCUUUCUGGGUAGAAUGAUGCACAACAAGAACAACAUUGAUGGUGGCCUGUAGCAGUGACAGCAGUGGAGCUUCAGGUGUCCUUCAGCUAGCCUGCCUUGUAAUCAGGGGAGUCCUGACACCCACCUGGAUCUCAGGCAUCCUCAAGAUGAUUUCAGUGGGCCAUUCCUACUAGUGUGCUCUCAUAGAGGUUAGAGAAGAUGGAAAAACCUUCCUAAUGCAAGAUGAGGAAGUAGGGACAAGCUUGCUCUGUUUGGAUCCUCUUAGUCAUCCGCUAAACAUAGAGCAGUUGAGGGGAUUCUCACUAUGGGAAGGUUGCUGUUGGAGGGCAAUGGGUCUUCACUGUCUAGGGUUAUAGAAAACCUUGGCUGCAGUCACUGUGACAUGCUUGGGACACAGAGGUGAAAGGUACUUUUGAAGAUGUGAGGAGAACUGGGCAGAUACUCCAUUUUGAUCCAUUCUGUGUGCAGUGCCCUACCCAGCAAGGUACUGAUCACUUAGACGAGGUAUGAUCAGUGCCUGUCUGGGUGGAGUAAUGCUCAACAAGAACAACAUUUGGGAGGGUCUUCAGACUGGUGCUGGGGAAGGAGAUGGAUGUGUCUGUAAGGUGCCUGCCUCCAACUCUGGGGGGUCGUGCAGCCUCCCUGGUUGGAUCUCAGGUAUCGAAAUGAUGAUUUCUCUGGUCAAUUUCUAAUAAUAUCAACCCUGUGUUUGUCCAAGCUGAUGAAGAUACUGGCUUAGAGAAACGUAAAUUUCAUAUGACAGCACGAAGGGCAUUGUGGCGAUCCUCCGGCUUGAAGCCAUGCUUCAUGCAAUCUCCAGCCCACAGUGGCGCUCCUCAUUACGACUACAUGGAAUUGUUACCAGUCUGGGACGAGUGAUGCUAAGCCAAACGACGUUUGUGGCGGGCUUUGUAUGAGUGCUGAGGUUGGAGGUGGGUCCUUGAGCUGCCUAACUUGAACUCACUAGGGCCAUGGCUGCCAACUGAAUCCCCUGCAUCCACCAUAUCAUUUCAUUGCUACACUCGUAAUAAUGUGAAUGUUUAGAUGUCAGAGUAGAUGAAGUUAUUUCCUAGGAGAAGAAGAGAAAAUAGGAGCAAGCUUGUUCCCUCUUGGAUCUCGUGAUCAUCCAGUAACCCUGGAUAUGGUGAGAGGAUUCUCACUAAUGGAGGGUUGCGAGUCAGAAGGUAGUGAGUUGUCAUUUUCUAUGGUUAUCUAAACAUCUUGGGUACAAUCAUCAUGAUGUGGAGAGGAGAGAGAUGGAAUCUACAUUUGAGAAUGCAUGUAGGACUGGGCAGCUUGUCCACCUUGAUCCAUGCUGUGCGUUGUGCCCUGCCUGAAGGAUGCCGAUUACUUAGACUAGGUUUAAUUGGUGUCUUCUUGGUUGAGUGAUGAUCAUUAAGAAAAACUGUUGUCGUAGCCCUAGGACCAGUAAUUGCGGUGGAGGUGCAACAGUCCUUGAGCUUCCCUUCUUGAACCCACCUGGAUCUCACUCAUCCUCAAGACCUUUAGGGUCUAACUAUGCCAUGGGCCAAUGAGGGUUAUCCCAAUUGAUAUCAGAAUGCAUUCUCAUAAUGUAUCUUGCUCAGCCUCUAAAUACCGAGUAAAGGAAACAAUCUUGGUUUUGGGUUUUGUGGGAGAAAUUUGCAAGUUUCUUCAUUGAUACCUGGAAAAGAUGUGAUAGGUUUAUAUGUAACCAUCAUAUUUUUAGAUUUUAUUGAUAUGUUUUAUAAUUUUGUAUAUUUAUCGUUUUUUCUGAUAAGUGGUUUUCUUGUGAACAUGCCUUCUAAUUUUUUUCUAUUUUUCACCCGUCCAUUUUACUCUUGACACUAAUUGCUGUUCUAGUUGUAUGUGGUUCUGAAAUUGUUUUCAGUGAAAUUUUAUUUCACGUAAUCUCUCUCUGAAUGCUUUAAGUAAUUAGCAAUCUUGAAGUUUUCUCUUGCAAAGGUUUAUUUUAUUCAGAGAUCUAAGCUCUAAAAUAAUGAUUUGAAAUGGCUUUGUGUCCUCAUCCAGGUUUGCUAUGAGCUCUUCGUAAAACAGUAAUUUCUAGAGAAAUUUAGGUAUGAGUAAUCGAUAGUUUAACUAAUGUUAAUAAUCAGAUAUAUGUUUUUUUAUUAAGAGAAAUGUUUUCGUUAUGGUCAAAUAAGAAAAUAUAUAUGAGAAAAAUCUGCAUGAAAUUCUGAAUUCUAUUACCUCAUUGCUGAAUAUGCGUGUUCCCUUUAUAGCCACCGUCUUGAGGGUGUCUUGGUUGCUUGCUUAUGUCCAAACUUAUCAAGCUGUAUGCACUAACCGGGUGCAGUUUUUGGUAUAUCAAUUAUACCUCAAUAAAGCUGUUAAAAAAAGAAAGAAAAACAAAGUAUAUUACCUCCUAAAUAAGCAUUCCUUCAGCAAGUGAAUUAUGAUUACUACUGCCAUCACCCCUGCUGCUGCUCCUCUGAGUUUAACUAGUACUGAUCCUACUCCUGCUCUGUUUAUUUGGAGCACAGACAACACUUUACGUGGUCACCUUUUAACAGGGUGGUAUCCCUGGCAAUAUUCAUGGCUAUAGGACCUGGCUAUAUCACAUAUGACAUAACUUUUUUAAGAAAUAAUGUUGUUCUGUUGAUACAUAUGGAUAUUUUAAAAUUCUCAGCAAGUUGAGUAAAAUGAGGAAAUGAUUUUGAUAAUUUAAUAAUACCGUGUAAGGAUCAUGCUCUUCUAGAACACAUAUUUCGCCAAUUCCGUAUGCUUGGUGUUCAUCACACAGCUAUAUUUUUCAUGUUACACGAAAGAUGUAGAUACCCAUGUUUAACUGUAAUUUCCAGGGCAUAAUGGUUCAUUUCUGUUUCAUAUAUUUAUUGAUAUAUAUAUAUAUAUUUAAUUUGCUUAUUCUUUAGAACACUUCAUUUAUAUUCAUGCCUGGAUAGAUUCAUUUUCAUUCAAUUCAAGCCUUGAAGACUGAGGGAACACAUUGUGGAGGGUAUAGGUUAAUGGCUACAAAUGACAAAAAAUUUUGAUUUUUUCAGCCACAAUUUCAAAUUAUACAGUAGGGCUUUAUCCAUGCCUCUGUUGCUUUGAACUCAGCUUCUCUUCUUCAUCCAUGUUGACACUCUUCAGAUGAUUGCAUUUUAUAUUGAUAUGCAUUUUGGUUCCUGCUAUUGUUAUCACUCAAUUAUUAUCUUCUUUGUUUAGGUCACUCUUGAGUUUCACCAGGUUAGACCUGAUUGCACUGCUGAUUUUAAAGUUGUAAAAGAAGCAACAUUUUGUUUGUACUACCUGGAGUAAGGUUGCUUCCAGUUGAUGCAGUUCCUUUUCCUUGCCACUGGGACCCAAGACACCUGGAGAACUCUAGCAUGAAUGAUGGGCAGGGGCAGAGUAAAAUUGCUUUUCACUUAAAUGCAGGAUUUCUUUGUUUACGUGUGAGGAAUUUGCUUUGAUAGUGGUGGAAAUUAAUGAUAUGAGAAUAUAGUCAUUGAUGUGUCUUUCACUAGGUUACAGAAACAUUUAGAAUAUAUCUCCUCACCUUUAACACCAAUUCUAUAAUUAAUAACAAUUUUUAUGAUGAAGUGUGUUGAGGAUGAAUUUAACAUGUGAAUGAAAUCUAAGCACCCGGAUUGGCAGGUAAGUUAGCAUUAAGCCAGUGUUAAAGAUGGUCGUUAUUAGUGUUUAAUAAUUAUGGCUGUCUUAACAUUAAAAUUUAUGACCGUUUUCUUACAGAUAGGAAGCACUGGUGAGAGUAAAGUUAAGAGACUUGGUUAUUUCCCCCAUAGAAAGAGAGUUGAAUAUUCAUGUUGGAGUUUUUUGUAUUAUUUUUUCAUGAUAAAAAUAUUUUUGUCUCACAGUGACCAGAGAAUCAAAGAGAUAUAUGUGGAUAGAUCUGCAUAUUCCACAUUUACAUUUUAAUAGUGUUUACUUUGUUAAACCUUAAUGUUCAAAUCCAUUUUCUCCUUUUGAACAAACAUAUACUGUGGUGUUUAACUUUGUGUGUCAUCUUGGCCAGGCUGUGGUACCCAAAUUUGGUCAAACACGAGUAUAGAUGUUGCUGUGAAUUAGGAUUCAAAUCAGUAGACUUUAAGUAAGGCAGAUUACCCUCUAUAGUGUGGGUGAGCCACAUCCAAACAGUUGAAGGCCAGGUCCCCCAAGGGAGAGGAGAUUCUGCCUCCAGACUGCCACAGGGACUCGAGAUGCAACAUCAGCUCUUCCCUGGGUCUCCACUCUGCCAGGCUGCUCUGCAGAUUUCAGACUUACCAGCCCAAACAAUCACGUGAGCCAAUUCCUUCAAAUAAAUCUCUUUUUCUCUCACUCUCCUCUUUAUGUUUGUGUGUGUAAAUCUGAUUGGUCCUGUUUCUCUGGAGAACCCUAAUACAUAUUCCAUGUCAUCUUAAAAGAAGCUGACAAGGGGCCAGCCCAUUGGUGUAGUGGUUAAGUUCACACACACUGCUUCGGUGGCCAGGGGUUCGUGGGUUUGGAUCCCAGGCCAAGCCUACACACCACUUGUCAAGCCAUGCUAUGGUGGUGUCCCAUAUACAAAAUAGAGGAAGAUUGACACAGCUGAUAGUUCAGGGAAAAUCUUCCUCAAGCAAAAAGAGGAAGAUUGGCAACAGAUAUUAGCUCAGGGCCAGUCUUCCUCACCCCCUCCCAAAACAAGAAAGAAAAAGAAAAGAAACUGACAUGUAUUUCUGUGAGUAUGUGUAAUGUGGCUUCAUUUUUCAACAGAUGGGAUUAUGCCCUGAGCUUUGUGUAAUAUGGUGAAACCAUGAGUGUGAAAAAGACUGAUAUCCUACUACAUCAAAUGCUUUUUCUGGUUAAAGUUUAAAAUGUAACUAUUUCAUGGUAUCAACUUUAAGGUUAGUGAUAGAAACUAAGGAUGCAAUUUUUUUAACCUUUUACAUGUUUUCCCUUAUGCUGCAACAACACACAAUUCUUUUAUAGCAAAGUCUCUGUGAGUUAUUUGGGCAAUAACUCCAUAUGUUGAUUACUUUCUUUAAUUUUGAUAUUACCAUGUAGGAUCUGGUUUGUGAAAUGAUCCUCCUCAUUCUUCAUUUUUGAGGAUUUCUGGGAUAAUCUGAUUCAUUUAUAUAUAGGCAUUAAAAAAUAGCAUUACUUUGUCAAAUUUCCCUGAAUGUAACAUUUAACUUUCUGACAUUGCUUUUGCAAUGAGGGACUUUGGGCAAAAUGAAAAUCUUUACAAAGUAGAACUUGCUCAUCUGAUGUGAGUAUGUGCUAUACAGAUUUUGUUUUCUUCAGGAAAGUCAUGCUGUGGUCUUCAUAGAUAGGUAGAAUGAAUGUUAUAGGUUUAUUCCUAGCAUUUCUAUUUCUAUUUCUUUUUGUGUUGAUUAUAUUCUUAUCCCCAUCAUUUGUGCUGACUGAUUAUUGGUGGUGGACAGUUAACAUGCCUACUUUUGCCAACUCAACUUACAUCUCUAUCAUUUUGUAUCAUUUUUAGCCCACUUUAGUUGGAGAAUUGCAUUUAAAGGUUUUAUGAAGUAGAAUUAAAUAAACCUUCUAAACACGUAGACCUUUUAUCAACUGCUUUACCAUAGAGUAGCAAAAUAGGUGGAUAGCACCUUAAUUGUUAACUUUUUAAAUCACAUCUUCCUAAGUCUUUCUCAGACUUUCUUUUAUACUGAUUCAUUUUUACUCUGAGAACUUGGUGGUAACAUCUGGAUUUUUGAAGGACUUGGCUUCCAGUACAUCCUGUGUCAUCACUGUGUCCUCCUGAGUCACUGCCCUCUGGAGACUUUUUGGUAUGAAAAACAGGACACUGUAGUGUAUGGGUUACUUUUAUCUCGUCAGAGGAAUUCCUGAAAGAAGCUCUUUUUUGGUAGUCUGGUUCCAAAAGUAUUUUCAGAUGUUGCCUCAUGACAAAUCAGGGCUGUAGAGUUACUAAAAGUUUAUUCAGUUCUGGGUUGUGAGUGUCUAACCACAGAAAUGUUUCAUGUACCUUGUCUCCCAGAAGUGUUGGAAAUAGGAUCUAGAAGCCUGAAGUGAGACAUAUGGCCAUCUGGCCAGUGCUGCCACCAUUAAGAAGCCAAACAGCCUCUCAGAUAAUGAAUUGCAAUAUCUUGUAUAUUUGUUUUUUAUCUAUUUACAAUUUUCUGAACUACUUUAUCAUUUUUCAAAAAUUUUCAAUUGAUUCUCUGGGUUGAUUACGAUAAUAUUGUCUGUGGGUUUUAUGUAUUGAUUUUCUACAUUGACUUUUUAAACAAUGUUUUCUCAGCCUAACUAGACAAAAUCAGUAAAACUGAACACUGAAAACAUAGUAACAUCCCCAAGCAACCUCCCUCUUCUGAACUUUUUCUUUAGGCAUUUUUUAGAACUUCAGAUCAUUUGCAUCAUUCUCCAUGCUGAAACACACAUAUGUAUACACAUGUAUAUGCAUGUAUGUAAAAUACAUUUUGUGUGUGUGACAGAAAAUCUGACAGUCACUGCUCAAGCUCAAAACACACAAGCAGCUCUCUCGCUUGAUUUCAUAUGACAUUCAUUGGGAUUUAUUAUUGUUAAAAACAAUUUAUCAGGGGCUGGCCAGGCCACGUAGUGGUUAAGUUUGCACACUCUGCUUUGGCUGCCCAGGAUUUGCAGGUUUGGAUCCUAGGCGCGGGCCUAGCACCACUCAUUAACCCAUGCUGUGGCGGCAUCCCACGUAAAAUAGAUGAAGAUUGGCACAAAUGUUAGCUCAGUGACAAUCUUCCUCAAGCAGAAAGAAGAUUGGCAACAGAUGCUAGCUCAAGGCCAAUAUUCCUCACGCCCCCCAAAGAACCUUUAUUUUUUCACCUAAAUAUGAAUUUAUGAUACAGCAUUUUAGCUGUCAUUUUUAACUAGUGUUUCAUAUUUGUUGACAUUUCUUUCAAGGUAAAAUCUACAUACAGUGAAAUUUGCAAUUCUUAAGUGUACUUUCAAUGAGAAUUUACUAAUUCAUAUGCCCAUGUAACCCAAGCCCCUACCAAGUUAUAAAAUAUUCCAUUCCCCCAAAAUUUCCUCAUGCCGUUUCCCACUCCAACCUGAGGGAAUCACUAUUUUAAUUUUUUUCUACCGCAGAUUAAUUCUACAUGUUCUAGAACUUCAUGCAUGUGGGAUGAUGUGGUGUGUAUUCCUCUGUGCAUGACGUUUUUCUUUCAUAAGCAAACUGUUUUUUAGAUCUACCCAUUUGGUGUAUCAGUGUUUCACUACUUCUUAUUGCUGAGGAGUAUUACAUUAUAUGAAUAUAUCACAGUUUGUUUACCCAUUCUCCUACAGAUGGACACCUGGAUUAUUUCUAGUUUUGGGUUAUUAUAAAUCUGCUAUUAACAUCCAUGUACAAGUCUGUGGACAUACAUUUUCAUUUCUCUUGGAUAAAUACUUAAGAAUGCAAAUACUGGUUUAUAGGGAGGGGUAUUUUUAGUUUUAUGAAAAAUUGACAGACCUUUGCCCAAAGUCUUAUAAACCUUUAUGCUGCCACCAACCAUUAUAUAACAGUUCUGAUUGUUCAGCAACUUCACCAAUAUUUGCAAUUGUCAGCCCUUUUUUACUUUUAGCCAUCUUGGUGGAGUGUAUUGGUAUCUCAUUGUGGUUUUAGUUUGCAUUUUUCCUGACACCUAAUGAUAUUUACGUAUCAACUUUUCCUUCUUUAUUGUUUAUUAAUGUAUAAUUUUAUAUAGAAUAAAAUUCACCAAUUUUAAGUGUAAAUUUUGAUAGAUUUCAGUAAUAGUAUACAACUAUGUAUACAUUGUCAAGAUACAGAACAGUUCUAUCAUCCUAAAUAAUACCCUCAUGCUCCCUUGCAUUCAAUCUUCUAUCCCAGCCCUGGACUCAGGCAACCAUUAGAAUGCUUUCUCAUAAAAUAGGUCUGCCUUUCAUAGCAUUUCAUAUAAGUGAAAUCUUUUUCAUUUUAUUUCUUUCACUUAGCAUAAGGAAUUUGAGAUACAUGUAUGUUAUUGAAUAUAUAAAUUGUUUAUUCCUUUCUCUUGCUGGAUUGCAUUCCAUGGUAUCAUGUACCAUAAUUUGUUUAUUCAUUUACCAGUUUUUGGAUGUUUGAUUUGCUUCCGUUUGGGGGCUAUUAUGAAUGAUGUUGCUGUGACUGUUCUUGUUCACAUUUUUGCAUAGAAAUAUAUUUUCAUUUCUCUUGGCUAAACAUCUAGGAGCAGAACACCUGGGUUGUUUAGUACAAAUAUAUUUAACUUAGAGUAUUGCCAUGCUGUUUUUCCAAAAUGGCUAAACAAUUUUGCCUUCACACCAGCAGUGGAUAAGAGUUUUACUUUCCCCAAAAACUCAACAACAGUUGGGAGUGUCAGUCUUAUUUUAUUUUAUCCAUUCUAGUGUGUAUGCAGUGGUAUCACAUUUUGGUUUUAAUCUACAUUUAUCUGAUGACUAUUGAUGUUGAACAUCUUUUGUACAAGUUUAUUGAUCACAUGUCUAUCCUCUUUUCUGAAGUGUCUGCAGAUUUGCUUAUUUAUUUAUGGCAUUGUUUGUCUCCUUACUAUUGAAUUGUAUAAGUUCUUUAUAUAUUCUAGAUGCAGUCUCUUGGUUGGAUCUGUGUUUUGGAACAAUUUUCUCCCAGUUUGUGGCUUGUAUUUUGUUUUCUUAGCUAUGUCUUUCUAAUAGCAUAUUUAUUAUCUUGAAGUCCGUUUUAUUAAAUUUUUCUUAUAUCUUUUGUGCUUUUGGUGUUCUAUUUAACAAAUAUUUGACCUGAUGUCACAGAGAUUUUAUUCUAUAUUUUUUAUAGAAGUUUAAUAAUGUUCCUUCUUAGCGUUAGCUCUAUGAUCCAUUUUGAGUUAACUUUUGUGUAUGAUGUGAGGUAAAGGUAGAGGUUCAUUUUUUUUCAUACAGAUAUCUAAUUUUUGCUGUAUCAUUUGUUGAAGAGACUAUCUUACCUCAGUUGAAUUUCACUGGCAAGUUUAUCAAAGAUAAAUUGAUCUAAUUUUUUUGAGUCUAUUUCUGGACUCUUAUCUCCAUUCCAUUGAGCUGUGUGUUUAACCAUAAAACAAUACCACAUUGUCUUGAAUCCUGUAGCUUUAUAGUAGUUAUUGAUAUCAGAUAAUAUAAAUCAUCCAACUUUGUUCAUUUUUGGAAGUUGUUUAGAUAUUCUAAGUCCUUUGCCUUUCUACGUAACUUAUAAAUUGAAAUUGCCAAUUUAUUCAAAAAAGCGUCUUAGGAUUUUGAUUGAGAUUGCAUUGAAUCUACAUAUUAAUUGAGCUAGGACCUCCAGUACGAUGAUAAAUAAAUGCACUGAAAGUGAGUAUCUUAAACUUCUUCUCAAUCUUGGGUAAAAAUAAUUGAGCCUUUCACCAUUGGAUAUGUUGUUAGCUGUAUGUUUAUCAUAAAUGUCUUUAAUUAGUUUUCCCUUCUAUUUAUAGUUUGUUAAGAGUUUAUUUUUAAAAUGAAAGGAUGUGUAAUUUUGCC
This is a long non-coding RNA of Equus caballus (horse), 9410 nucleotides long. Lineage: Eukaryota; Metazoa; Chordata; Mammalia; Perissodactyla; Equidae. The record is from Ensembl.